Molecule: unclassified non-coding RNA, 164 nt
Organism: Chrysemys picta bellii (western painted turtle)
Lineage: Eukaryota; Metazoa; Chordata; Testudines; Emydidae
Source: Ensembl
CUGGCCUGGAGAGUGAAGUCCUCUGUUUACAGAGCAGGUAAAGUGCAGGCAACAGCAGAACAAGCUUCCCCACUUUGCCUCAUUAAUGUGCCUCAACCGUGAUCUGGAAGGAUCACCUCUAGGAGGAGAGAUUUACUCCUCAGGGUUCUCAGUCCUUGGCGCCU